RNAcentral lists this transfer RNA (23 nucleotides) under Meloidogyne incognita (southern root-knot nematode). RNAcentral's name for it is "partial tRNA-His". Lineage: Eukaryota; Metazoa; Nematoda; Chromadorea; Rhabditida; Meloidogynidae. The record is from RNAcentral.
AAGCUAUUAAUUUUCAAUUGAAU